GGAGGGUGCGAGCGUUGUUCGGAAUCACUGGGCGUAAAGGGCGUGUAGGCGGCCUGCUAGGUCUGAUGUGAAAGCCCGGGGCUCACCCCCGGAAGGGCAUUGGAUACUGGCAGGCUCGAGUCCCGGAGAGGAGGGUGGAAUUCCUGGUGUAGCGGUGAAAUGCGUAGAUAUCAGGAGGAACACCGGUGGCGAAGGCGGCCCUCUGGACGGUGACUGACGCUGAGACGCGAAAGCGUGGGGAGCAAACAGGAUUAGAUACCCUGGUAGUCCACGCUGUAAACGAUGAGCACUAGGUGUCGUGGGUAUUGACCCCCGCGGUGCCGUAGCUAACGCAUUAAGUGCUCCGCCUGGGGACUACGGCCGCAAGGCUA
Molecule: ribosomal RNA, 371 nt
Filed under: uncultured bacterium
Lineage: Bacteria
Description: bacterial SSU rRNA
Rfam family: Bacterial small subunit ribosomal RNA
Source: RNAcentral